GGGGCUAUAGCUCAGCUGGGAGAGCGCUACGCUGGCAGCGUAGAGGUCACCGGUUCGAUCCCGGUUAGCUCCACCA
Molecule: transfer RNA, 76 nt
Filed under: Ilyobacter polytropus DSM 2926
Lineage: Bacteria; Fusobacteriati; Fusobacteriota; Fusobacteriia; Fusobacteriales; Fusobacteriaceae
Description: tRNA-Ala (GGC) (tRNA-Ala-GGC-1-1)
Rfam family: tRNA
About the family: Transfer RNA (tRNA) molecules are approximately 80 nucleotides in length. Their secondary structure includes four short double-helical elements and three loops (D, anti-codon, and T loops). Further hydrogen bonds mediate the characteristic L-shaped molecular structure. tRNAs have two regions of fundamental functional importance: the anti-codon, which is responsible for specific mRNA codon recognition, and the 3' end, to which the tRNAs corresponding amino acid is attached (by aminoacyl-tRNA synthetases). tRNAs cope with the degeneracy of the genetic code in two manners: having more than one tRNA (with a specific anti-codon) for a particular amino acid; and 'wobble' base-pairing, i.e. permitting non-standard base-pairing at the 3rd anti-codon position.
Source: RNAcentral